GAUCAGGACACCUCAGUUCGACUUCUCAAAAUGAGGUUCCCUGCUCAGCUCCUGGGGCUGCUGAUGCUCUGGGUCCCUGGAUGCAGUGGGGAUGUUGUGAUGACCCAGUCUCCACUCUCCCUGUCUGUCCCCCUUGGAGAGCCGGCCUCCAUCUCAUGCAGAUCUAGUCAGAGCCUUCUACACAGUAAUGGAAACACCUAUUUGUAUUGGUACCUGCAGAAGCCAGGCCAGUCUCCACAGCUCCUGAUCUAUAGGGUUUCGAACAGGGCCUCUGGAGUCCCAGACAGGUUCAGUGGCAGUGGGUCAGGCACUGAUUUCACACUAAAAAUCAGCAGGGUGGCAGCUGAGGAUGUUGGAGUUUAUUACUGCCAACAACAUAUAAAAUAUCCUCCCACAGUGGUACAGCCCCGAGCACAAACCUCCCUGCUUGCUGAAGCCUAGCUGCCCACAUGUGUUUUUUGUCUGGGGAGCAG
Non-coding RNA from Carlito syrichta (Philippine tarsier), 473 nucleotides. The record is from the annotation of a RefSeq genome assembly. Lineage: Eukaryota; Metazoa; Chordata; Mammalia; Primates; Tarsiidae.